CCAACGAGGAUAUCCUGAGGUCACUCCUCCGGCUCUGUCCAGGUGGCAAAAGGGAGCUUAGGGCUUUUGCCCUGUGAUGUACAGUCCCAUUCCACAACGUUGGAUAUCAAGCUGGGCUUUGUGUCUGCACCUGCAUAUUCCUAAACCUUCUCAGAGUCUUUGGACUAUGACUGAGGAGACAAACCAUGCAGGAAACAAUU
Molecule: small nucleolar RNA, 200 nt
Organism: Monodelphis domestica (gray short-tailed opossum)
Lineage: Eukaryota; Metazoa; Chordata; Mammalia; Didelphimorphia; Didelphidae
Gene: SNORA73
Rfam family: Small nucleolar RNA SNORA73 family
About the family: U17 (SNORA73A and SNORA73B) also known as E1 belongs to the H/ACA class of small nucleolar RNAs (snoRNAs). Vertebrate U17 is intron-encoded and ranges in length from 200-230 nucleotides, longer than most snoRNAs.
Source: Ensembl